UGAUCCUGCCAGUAGUCAUAUGCUUGUCUCAAAGAUUAAGCCAUGCAUGUCUAAGUAUAAGCAAUUAUACAGCGAAACUGCGAAUGGCUCAUUAUAUAAGUUAUCGUUUAUUUGAUAGUGCCUUACUACUUGGAUAACCGUGGUAAUUCUAGAGCUAAUACAUGCGUUAAGAUGGGACUCUUCGGAACCAUCGUAUUUAUUAGAUACAGAACCAAUCCGCUCUGCGGUUUUGGAUGAUUCAUGGUAAAUGAACGGAGCGUAUAGCUUGUGCUGACGCUGUGCCAUUCAAGUUUCUGACCUAUCAGCUAUCGACGGUAGGGUAUUGGCCUACCGUGGCAUUGACGGGUAACGGAGAAUUAGGGUUCGAUUCCGGAGAGGGAGCCCGAGAAACGGCUACCACAUCUAAGGAAGGCAGCAGGCGCGCAAAUUACCCCAAUCCUGACACAGGGAGGUAGUGACAGAAAUACAAAGCAAGCCCUUAGGGGCGCUGCGUUGGAAUGAGUAGA
This 506-nucleotide ribosomal RNA is filed under the name uncultured eukaryote. RNAcentral describes it as "bacterial SSU rRNA". It matches the Rfam family "Eukaryotic small subunit ribosomal RNA", at positions 9 to 522 of the family's 1831-position model. The record is from RNAcentral.